RNAcentral lists this ribosomal RNA (254 nucleotides) under uncultured bacterium. RNAcentral describes it as "partial 16S ribosomal RNA". It matches the Rfam family "Bacterial small subunit ribosomal RNA", at positions 524 to 776 of the family's 1533-position model. The record is from RNAcentral.
UACGUAGGGUGCAAGCGUUGUCCGGAAUUAUUGGGCGUAAAGAGCUCGUAGGCGGUGUGCCACGUCGGCCGUGAAAACCUGCAGCUUAACUGUGGGCGUGCGGUCGAUACGGGCAUCACUGGAGUUCGGCAGGGGAGACUGGAAUUCCUGGUGUAGCGGUGAAAUGCGCAGAUAUCAGGAGGAACACCGGUGGCGAAGGCGGGUCUCUGGGCCGAUACUGACGCUGAGGAGCGAAAGCGUGGGGAGCAAACAGG